RNAcentral lists this unclassified non-coding RNA (188 nucleotides) under Stylophora pistillata. RNAcentral's name for it is "serine/threonine-protein phosphatase 6 regulatory ankyrin repeat subunit B-like, transcript variant X2". The record is from RNAcentral. Lineage: Eukaryota; Metazoa; Cnidaria; Anthozoa; Scleractinia; Pocilloporidae.
ACAACAAAGCCGGUUUGCCUAAAGAGAAAUGAACAGAAUCAAUAGAAAUUUGUAAAGAACAUAUGGCGAAUGUUUAAAGGACAAAGGCUUCAUCUGAAACAAGGUUGCAAAGUAUUUUCAAAAGAUUUAAGUACAAUUUAGUACACUCUACGAAUCAGGAGUUACUAGACAGUCAACUCAGGACUGCG